RNAcentral lists this signal recognition particle RNA (98 nucleotides) under Oscillospiraceae bacterium. Its description in RNAcentral is "signal recognition particle sRNA small type". It matches the Rfam family "Bacterial small signal recognition particle RNA". Rfam says of the family: The signal recognition particle (SRP) is a universally conserved ribonucleoprotein involved in the co-translational targeting of proteins to membranes. Lineage: Bacteria; Bacillati; Bacillota; Clostridia; Eubacteriales; Oscillospiraceae. The record is from RNAcentral.
AAGAGGGCGGAAUACGAUAGAUCGCCAUGAACCAUGUCAGGUGGGGAACCAAGCAGCAUUAAGUGGUCUGACUAUGCGAUAUUUGCAGUUUUCUUUGC